Molecule: ribosomal RNA, 387 nt
Filed under: uncultured bacterium
Lineage: Bacteria
Description: bacterial SSU rRNA
Rfam family: Bacterial small subunit ribosomal RNA
Source: RNAcentral
UUUUCCCGCAAGGACCUUCCGCACAGGUGCUGCAUGGCUGUCGUCAGCUCGUGUCGUGGGAUGUUGGGUUAAGUCCCGCAACGAGCGCAACCCUCGCCUUUAGUUGCCAUCAUUUAGUUGGGCACUCUAGAGGAACUGCCGGUGACAAGCCGGAGGAAGGUGGGGAUGACGUCAAGUCCUCAUGGCCCUUAUGUCCUGGGCUACACACGUGCUACAAUGGUGGUGACAGUGGGAAGCUAGGCGGUGACGCCGUGCUGAUCUCUAAAAGCCAUCUCAGUUCGGAUUGUACUCUGCAACUCGAGUACAUGAAGGUGGAAUCGCUAGUAAUCGUGGAUCAGCAUGCCACGGUGAAUACGUUCCCGGGCCUUGUACACUCCGCCCAAUCGA